GACGAACGCUGGCGGCGUGCUUAACACAUGCAAGUCGAGCGGUAAGGCCCGUUUCGGGGGUACACGAGCGGCGAACGGGUGAGUAACACGUGGGUGACCUGCCCUCAGCUCUGGGAUAAGCCUGGGAAACCGGGUCUAAUACCGGAUAUGACUCCAUGACGCAUGUUGUGGGGUGGAAAGCCUUGUGCGGCUGAGGAUGGGCCCCGCGGCCUAUCAGCUUGUUGGUGGGGUGAGGCCUACCAAGGCGACGACGGGUAGCCGGCCUGAGAGGGCGACCGGCCACACUGGGACUGAGACACGGCCCAGACUCCUACGGGAGGCAGCAGUGGGGAAUCUUGCGCAGUGGGCGAAAGCCUGACGCAGCGACGCCGCGUGAGGGAUGACGGCCUCGG
Molecule: ribosomal RNA, 392 nt
Filed under: uncultured bacterium
Lineage: Bacteria
Description: bacterial SSU rRNA
Rfam family: Bacterial small subunit ribosomal RNA
Source: RNAcentral